Molecule: ribosomal RNA, 407 nt
Filed under: uncultured bacterium
Lineage: Bacteria
Description: bacterial SSU rRNA
Rfam family: Bacterial small subunit ribosomal RNA
Source: RNAcentral
UAGGGAAUCUUGCGCUAAUGCGCGAAAGCGUGACGCAGCGACGCCGCGUGCGGGAUGAAGGCCCUCGGGUCGUAAACCGCUUUCGGCAGGGACGAAGCGAAAGUGACGGUACCUGCAGAAGAAGUCCCGGCUAACUACGUGCCAGCAGCCGCGGUAACACGUAGGGGACGAGCGUUGUCCGGAUUCAUUGGGCGUAAAGCGCGCGUAGGCGGCUCGGAAAGUCGGUCGUGAAAUCCUGGGGCUCAACCCCGGAACUGCGUCCGAUACUCCCGAGCUGGAGGCAGGUAGGGGAGAUCGGAAUUCCUGGUGUAGCGGUGAAAUGCGCAGAUAUCAGGAGGAACACCGGUGGCGAAGGCGGAUCUCUGGGCCUUGCCUGACGCUGAGGCGCGAAAGCUAGGGGAGCGAAC